Molecule: ribosomal RNA, 697 nt
Filed under: uncultured Flexibacteraceae bacterium
Lineage: Bacteria; Pseudomonadati; Bacteroidota; Cytophagia; Cytophagales; Cytophagaceae
Description: bacterial SSU rRNA
Rfam family: Bacterial small subunit ribosomal RNA
Source: RNAcentral
GGCGCACGGGUGCGUAACAUGUAUGCAACCUACCUUACAUUGGGGGAUAGCCUUUCGAAAGGGAGAUUAAUACCGCAUAAGACAGUAGCUGGGCAUCCAGCAGCUGUUAAAGAUUUAUCGAUGUAAGCUGGGCAUGCGUCCAAUUAGCUAGUUGGUGAGGUAACGGCUCACCAAGGCUAUGAUUGGUAGGGGAACUGAGAGGUCAAUCCCCCACACUGGCACUGAGAUACGGGCCAGACUCCUACGGGAGGCAGCAGUAGGGAAUAUUGGGCAAUGGACGCAAGUCUGACCCAGCCAUGCCGCGUGCAGGAUGGAGGCGUUAUGCGUUGUAAACUGCUUUUAUACAGGAAGAAACGACUCUUGCGAGAGGCAUUGACGGUACUGUAUGAAUAAGCACCGGCUAACUCCGUGCCAGCAGCCGCGGUAAUACGGAGGGUGCAAGCGUUGUCCGGAUUUAUUGGGUUUAAAGGGUGCGCAGGUGGUUUAUUAAGUCAGUGGUGAAAGACGGUCGCUCAACGAUUGCAGUGCCAUUGAAACUGGUAGACUUGAGUAAAGUAGAGGUGGGCGGAAUUGAUAGUGUAGCGGUGAAAUGCAUAGAUAUUAUCAAGAACUCCAAUUGCGUAGGCAGCUCACUUGGCUUUUACUGACACUCAUGCACGAAAGUGUGGGUAUCAAACAGGAUUAGAUACCCUGGUAG